This is a non-coding RNA of Coniella lustricola, 99 nucleotides long. The record is from the annotation of a GenBank genome assembly. Lineage: Eukaryota; Fungi; Ascomycota; Sordariomycetes; Diaporthales; Schizoparmaceae.
GCCCGGCUAGCUCAAUCGGUAGAGCGUAAGACUCUUACUGGGUCUUCGACUCUGAUUAGUAUCAUCUUAAGGCUGUGGGUUCGACCCCCACGUCGGGCU